CCUACGGGAGGCAGCAGUGAGGAAUAUUGGUCAAUGGGCGCGAGCCUGAACCAGCCAAGUCGCGUGAAGGAAGACUGCCCUACGGGUUGUAAACCUCUUUUAUCGAGGAAUAAAAUGAGGCACGUGUGCCUUUUCGUAUGUACUCUAUGAAUAAGCACCGGCUAACUCCGUGCCAGCAGCCGCGGUAAUACGGAGGGUGCAAGCGUUACUCGGAAUCACUGGGUGUAAAGAGUGCGUAGGCGGGGUAAUAAGUCAGAUGUGAAAUCCUGUAGCUUAACGACAGAAGAGCAGUUGAAACUGGUUCUCUGGAGUGUGCGAGAGGUAGGUGGAAUUCGUGGUGUAGGGGUAAAAUCCGUAGAGAUCAAGAGGAAUACUCAUUGCGAAGGCGACCUGCUGGAACAUUACUGACGCUGAUGCACGAAAGCGUGGGGAUCGAACAGGAUUAGAUACCCUUGUAGUC
This 460-nucleotide ribosomal RNA is filed under the name uncultured bacterium. RNAcentral describes it as "partial 16S ribosomal RNA". It matches the Rfam family "Bacterial small subunit ribosomal RNA", at positions 338 to 795 of the family's 1533-position model. The record is from RNAcentral.